RNAcentral lists this ribosomal RNA (254 nucleotides) under uncultured bacterium. RNAcentral describes it as "partial 16S ribosomal RNA". It matches the Rfam family "Bacterial small subunit ribosomal RNA", at positions 524 to 776 of the family's 1533-position model. The record is from RNAcentral.
UACGUAGGGUGCAAGCGUUGUCCGGAAUUAUUGGGCGUAAAGAGCUCGUAGGCGGUUCGUCGCGUCGGCUGUGAAAUCCCGAGGCUCAACCUCGGGUCUGCAGUCGAUACGGGCAUCACUGGAGUUCGGCAGGGGAGACUGGAAUUCCUGGUGUAGCGGUGAAAUGCGCAGAUAUCAGGAGGAACACCGGUGGCGAAGGCGGGUCUCUGGGCCGAUACUGACGCUGAGGAGCGAAAGCGUGGGGAGCGAACAGG